RNAcentral lists this ribosomal RNA (465 nucleotides) under uncultured bacterium. Its description in RNAcentral is "partial 16S ribosomal RNA". It matches the Rfam family "Bacterial small subunit ribosomal RNA", at positions 28 to 507 of the family's 1533-position model. The record is from RNAcentral.
GACGAACGCUGGCGGCGUGCUUAACACAUGCAAGUCGAACGGAAAGGCCCUGCUUGCAGGGUACUCGAGUGGCGAACGGGUGAGUAACACGCGGGUGAUCUGCCCUGCACUUCGGGAUAAGCCUGGGAAACUGGGUCUAAUACCGGAUAGGAGCCAUUUUUAGUGUGAUGGUUGGAAAGUUUUUUCGGGGUAGGAUGAGCUGGCGGCCUAUCAGCUUGCUGGUGGGGUAAUGGCCUACCAAGGCGGCGUCGGGUAGCCGGCCUGAGUGGGUGGACGGCCACAUUGGGACUGAGGUACGGCCCAGGCUCCUACGGGAGGCAGCAGUGGGGAAGAUUGCACAAUGGGCGCAAGGCUGAUGCAGCGACGCCGCGUGGGGGAUGACGGCCUUCGGGUUGUAAACUCCUUUCGCUAGGGACGGAGCUUUUUGUGACGGUACCUAGUUAAGAAGCACCGGCUAACUACGUG